AGGCCCCCACCGGGAAUGCAGCCUGUUACUUAGUUUGACUCAACACGAAAAAACUUGCCCGGGCCGGACACUGGAUGGAUUGACUGAUUGAUAUUUCUUGCUUGAUUGGAUGGGGGGGGGUGCAUGGUCGUUCUUGGUGGGGGGAUUGAUUUGUCUGGUUAAUACCAAUAACGAACCACACUCUAGCCUACUAAAUAGGCCACCGGUUUACUGACGGCGGUGGCACUUCUUAAAGGGACGGGCGGCGAUUCAUCCGCACGAAACAUAGCAAUACCGGGUCUGUGAUGCCCUUACAUGUCCGGGGCCGCACGCGCGCUACACUGAAAUGAUCAGCGUGCAUUACAAACCUGCUCCGUCAGGAGUGGGGAACCCAAUGAACCUUCUUCGUGAUUGGCAUAGGUGAUUGUAAUUAUUCCCCUUGAACGAGGAAUUCCCAGCAAGCGCUAGCCAUGAUCUCGCGUUGAUUACUUCCCUGCCCUUUGUACACACCGUCCGUCUUUACUACCGAUUGAAUGAUUU
RNAcentral lists this ribosomal RNA (519 nucleotides) under uncultured eukaryote. RNAcentral describes it as "bacterial SSU rRNA". It matches the Rfam family "Eukaryotic small subunit ribosomal RNA", at positions 1161 to 1699 of the family's 1831-position model. The record is from RNAcentral.